Pan troglodytes (chimpanzee) is the source of this 897-nucleotide non-coding RNA. The record is from the annotation of a RefSeq genome assembly. Lineage: Eukaryota; Metazoa; Chordata; Mammalia; Primates; Hominidae.
GUCGUCCAUGUGUCAUGGAUUUUCUCUUUCUCAUACUGGGUCAGGAAUUGGUCUAUUAAAUAGCAUCCUUCAUGAAUAUGCAAAUAACUGAGGGGAAUAUAGUAUCUCUGUACCCUGAAAGCAUCACCCAACAACCACAUCCCUCCUUGGGAGAAUCCCCUAGAGCACAGCUCCUCACCAUGGACCGGACCUGGAGCAUCCUCUUCUUGGUGGCAGCAGCAACAGGUACCUACUCCCAGGUGCAGUUGGUGCAGUCUGGUCAUGAGGUGAAGCAGCCUGGGGCCUCAGUGAAGGUCUCCUGCAAGGCUUCUGGUUACAGUUUCACCACCUAUGGUAUGAAUUGGGUGCGACAGGCCCCUGGACAAGGGCUUGAGUGGAUGGGAUGGUUCAACACCUACACUGGGAACCCAACAUAUGCCCAGGGCUUCACAGGACGGUUUGUCUUCUCCAUGGACACCUCUGUCAGCACAGCAUACCUGCAGAUCAGCAGCCUAAAGGCUGAGGACACUGCCAUGUAUUACUGUGCGAGAUACACCAUGUGGAAACCCACAUCCUGAGAGUGUCAGAAAUCCUGAUGUAGGAGGCAGCUGUGCUGAGCUGAGGCAGUGAUGCAGCAGUUUCCUUAACUUCCAUCUUAUCUCAUUUUGCAUCGACAUCCACCUUUAUAUUAGCCAAGAAUGUGGAAUAGACGGGUGCUCCUAAGAGAUCCUUAACUUGCCCAUUUUAUUGGGUUUUCCAGAAGAUGUGAGAAGCCACUUUGUUAGCAAAGCAUGCCGAAGCCAUGCCCUGCUCCAGACACAUGUGAGCCCAUUUCCUGCUCUUUGCUUAACUGACGAGCUCUCAUCAGUGCAUCUGGGCUAAUUUCACAUCAGGUAGAGGAAUAUGUUCUAAAGGAAA